This is a small nuclear RNA of Vicugna pacos (alpaca), 189 nucleotides long. RefSeq annotates it as U2 spliceosomal RNA. The record is from RefSeq and is a predicted model, not a curated record. NCBI's taxonomy places the organism in Eukaryota, Metazoa, Chordata, Mammalia, Artiodactyla, Camelidae.
AUCACUUCUCGGCCUUUUGGCUAAGCUCAAGUGUAGUAUAUGUUCUAAUCAGACUGAAUCUGCCACGUCCUCUAUCUGAACACAGUAUACUAAACGGUUUUUGGAGCAGGGAGUUGGAAUAGGCGCUUGCUCCGUCCACUCCGUGCACUGGCCUGGUAUUGCAGUACCUCCAGGAGCAAUGCACCAAAA